GAUGAACGCUGGCGGCGUGCCUAAUACAUGCAAGUCGAGCGAACGGACGAGAAGCUUGCUUCUCUGAUGUUAGCGGCGGACGGGUGAGUAACACGUGGAUAACCUACCUAUAAGACUGGGAUAACUUCGGGAAACCGGAGCUAAUACCGGAUAAUAUUUUGAACCGCAUGGUUCAAAAGUGAAAGACGGUCUUGCUGUCACUUAUAGAUGGAUCCGCGCUGCAUUAGCUAGUUGGUAAGGUAACGGCUUACCAAGGCAACGAUGCAUAGCCGACCUGAGAGGGUGAUCGGCCACACUGGAACUGAGAUACGGUCCAGACUCCUACGGGAGGCAGCAGUAGGGAAUCUUCCGCAAUGGGCGAAAGCCUGACGGAGCAACGCCGAGUGAGUGAUGAAGGUCUUCGGAUCGUAAAACUCUGUUAUUAGGGAAGAACAUAUGUGUAAGUAACUGUGCACAUCUUGACGGUACCUAAUCAGAAAGCCACGGCUAACUACGUG
This 497-nucleotide ribosomal RNA is filed under the name uncultured bacterium. Its description in RNAcentral is "partial 16S ribosomal RNA". It matches the Rfam family "Bacterial small subunit ribosomal RNA", at positions 28 to 507 of the family's 1533-position model. The record is from RNAcentral.